RNAcentral lists this ribosomal RNA (254 nucleotides) under uncultured bacterium. Its description in RNAcentral is "partial 16S ribosomal RNA". It matches the Rfam family "Bacterial small subunit ribosomal RNA", at positions 524 to 776 of the family's 1533-position model. The record is from RNAcentral.
UACGGGGGGGGGUAAGCGUUGUUCGGAAUUACUGGGGGUAAAGGGCUCGUAGGCGGCCAACUAAGUCAUACGUGAAAUCCCUCAGCUUAACUGGGGAACUGCGUGUGAUACUGGAUGGCUUGGAUUUGGGAGAGGGAUGCGGAAUUCCAGGUGUAGCGGUGAUAUGCGUAGAUAUCUGGAGGAACACCGGUGGCGAAGGCGGCGUUCUGGACUGCUACUGACACUGAGGAACGAAAGCCAGGGGAGCAAACGGG